CCAGUAUGCGCCAUAUGGAGCGCCUUAGACAUUGACCAGGCUUAAUAGGGAAUCCCGUUAAAAGCGGGAGCGGACCCGCCGCCGUAAGCCGAUACCCGCCGCAUUCCCGGACCGUAGCAACGGCCCGAAAGUCACUGGGGACCACCCCGGGAAGACGGAAACGCGGUCGGCAAGCCGGAAGACCUGCUCCAUACAGUCAGACAGGA
RNAcentral lists this non-coding RNA (206 nucleotides) under uncultured delta proteobacterium. The record is from RNAcentral. Lineage: Bacteria; Deltaproteobacteria.